RNAcentral lists this ribosomal RNA (1158 nucleotides) under Triticum aestivum (bread wheat). RNAcentral describes it as "partial small subunit ribosomal RNA". The record is from RNAcentral. Lineage: Eukaryota; Viridiplantae; Streptophyta; Magnoliopsida; Poales; Poaceae.
AUGGUUCGGUCUCACGACGACGGUGCCGACGGCAGGGAGGAGGCCCGGCCCGUGGCCUGCGAUACGGGCCCGGUGAAGAAGGAUAGGAAGAGGAGGUGUAAGCGGAAUCGGAAUCGGAGCAACGCCAAGGCUACGCCGCCUGCUCCUGCGCCUGCGCCUCCACCUGCCCCAUCGCAGGAGCACCGCGCUACCACCAGCGACGACGAACGGUCGGCUCAGGUCAGGGCCAUGGUGGGUGAGCAGGUGCGGCAUAUGCUUGCCGUCCGCGACGCUAGGAAGAAAGAAACUGCCGAGCUACUUAAACGCCUCAAUGGGGAAAGUGACUUUUCUGUGGAGGAUACAUUUGGUGACUGCAAUGAUGGCAGUCUUGAGAGUCUCCAGGCUCGCAAAGUUGCAUUGUUGGUCUCAAAGUCAAUCGUCAGCCUGUCUUCUUUUGCAGGUGGAAAGAGAAUCCGGGUUUGCUCAGGAUUUGUGAUGCGCCGAAAAGACGAUACCGAUGCAAAUAUGGUUUUAACCUCAGCAACACUUGUUAGAUCUCUGAUCAAUGGAGAUAACAAUGUGAUCUCUGACGUGACGGUCAAGGUGCUUCUACCUGAUUGGCGUAUAACCGAUGGCCAUAUCCUUCUUGUGGAUUUUCACUAUAAUGUAGCUGUUGUCAAAGUUGAAACUGAUUUACCAGUCUUAGAAGAAGGCACUACCAACAAUGGAGUUGUGUUAGCACUUGGACGUGCAUAUGAAGGUGGUUAUCUCAUGUGUUCACGGGGUCAAGCUGUAAACCAAAAAAGCACUUUUGAGUGUUUGGAGCUAUUGGUGUCAAGCUGCGAAAUAUCCAUGGCUGGUUCUGGAGGACCUCUUGUCAAUUACAAUGGUCAAGUUCUUGGUAUGAACUUCUAUGAAGACAAUCAAACAUCGUACCUUCCAAUGUCAAUUGUUUCAAGGAUCCUGGAACAACAUCAGAGCUUCGGGAAAUUAAUUAGCCCUUGGCUUGGAUUAAGGUAUACUUCUCUUCAUAUGGUGUCACUGGCAACCCUGGAGCGUAUCUAUCAAAAAUUCCCAGAUGUUGACCAAGGUUUAUAUGUUUCAAAGUUUCUUAUAACCGGACCCUGUUUCCCGCUAAACCGUUGGUGGGGAUGGUGGUGGAAGCAAGAUCUCCCCUGA